UCAAAACCCUAAAAACCAAAUGAGCUACACUAUAAUAUAUAUUAAAAAUUAUGCUAGAACUAGUAAUAAGAAAAUACAAUUUUCUCUAUUGCAUAAACAUAAAUCAGAACGGAACAACCACUGAUAAUUACCAAUAAUGAAUAUAAACCUUUUAACAAGAUUUACAAACUCAAAUAACAAUGUUAACCCUACACAGGAAUGCAUCUUAGAAAGAUAAAACCAUAAAGAAGGAACUCGGCAAAAUAAAUUAAGCUUCGCCUGUUUACCAAAAACAUCACCUUUAGCUAAAAUUACAAAUAUUAAAGCACUGCCUGCCCAGUGAUAUUAUUUUUACGGCCGCGGUAUUCUAACCGUGCAAAGGUAGCAUAAUCACUUGUCUUUUAAAUAAAGACUAGUAUGAACGGCAAGACGAAAGCUUAACUGUCUCCUUUAUUUUAUCAAUGAAACUGAAUUUCCUGUACAAAAGCAGGAAUAAAUUAAUAAGACGAGAAGACCCUAUGGAACUUAAAACACGCAGUCACUUUAAGUUAUAUUAAAACCUGAACAUACUGUUUUUGGUUGGGGUGACCACGGAGAAUAAAAAUCCUCCGAGAUAACAAUUUUAGUAAUACAAAACAAAAAUUCAAAAUUUUGACACCAGACCCAAAAUAUUUGAUCAACGAACCAAGCUACCCUAGGGAUAACAGCGCAAUCUUCUCCAAGAGCACCUAUCGCCAAGAAGGUUUACGACCUCGAUGUUGGAUCAGGAUAUCCAGACAGU
Molecule: ribosomal RNA, 760 nt
Filed under: Dermophis mexicanus (Mexican burrowing caecilian)
Lineage: Eukaryota; Metazoa; Chordata; Amphibia; Gymnophiona; Dermophiidae
Description: partial 16S ribosomal RNA
Rfam family: Bacterial large subunit ribosomal RNA
Source: RNAcentral